CUCAGAACCCGGGCAGGCGGAGGGGUGGCCGAGAGCACGGGAUUCUGAUUUAGGGACUCCGAAGAAGUGCGCUUAGGCUUGGCCAGGCCUGCCGUCACUUAAAGUCCUCCCGGACGAACGCUACUACACAAUUUGGUCAAGCCGAGGAGACUUUAGAGUUAGAAUGCGAGGAAUACUUUCUGUAAAGCCAGAAUUGCCGGUCACCGCAGCCAGCUUUGUGCAGAGAAGCCCCAGAGCCAUGAGAGGGUAAUGGCUAAACCAGGGAUGGGAAUAGUGAGCGCGACCCCAGGCACUUUGUGAGGAGAUGAGCUAUGGUGGGGGAAGCAUCCACUUUGAAGAACGGCCUUCGACCCCCCCCCAACAUCAUUUCCGGGGCGGGCUCGGCAGAGGGCCCGGAUGUGGCACUGCUUCGUACGUGAAUCGCCAGCGGUGUUCCUGGUAGUGUUUGCCUCCUGGCUUAUCCCUUUACUAGACUCUUUGGGUCCCUCGUUGGACUGGAAGGUCCGAGCUGCCCUUUCCUUUCUGUUGUCUGCGCCCUAUUCUACUCCCGCCUCCUGAGGCCACGACUCCGGGAAGCGCUGGCGGCGGGGUGUGAGCGAGCUGCCUCCGCCGCCAUCUUAGAGAAGGCGAGCCUGGGGCGCGUGUGGGCAGCGGGCGGCCUCCCACGGACCCGCAGCGGUUUGGCGCGGAGAGGUGGAGAGGUCGGAGCGCGUGCGGCCCUCACUCCGGAGCGAAGAGGCGAAGUCAUCACUCCCAACCCAGGGGGCUGGGAGUAAGUGCUAAUAAAGAACAAGAAUUUGCCCUUCCCGGAGUAUGAGAAAACCCCUGGCGAGCUCCCUCGACGAAAGGCGUGGAGGGGUGGGGUAACUUAACACCUGCCUGAACUACUGUCCCAUUAAUUUUUGGUUCCCCGUUAUUUUCACACACACCCCCCCCAAGCAAAGUGUUCAUCCCUUUUCAGAGUUGACCAAACUUGGAAUUGAGCUCAAUCUGUAUUAUAUUUCUUGCCUCGUCCUUAGCCCCUUUACUUGAUAGCCUAAGGUAGUAGAGGUUCAUGCCAUUCCAGGCUGCAUUCAAACAGACGAAUGGCUUCCUUCUAUGUUGAACGUUGUCAGUCCACAACCUGCUAUAUGGAACAUCCAUUGAUAAUGCAUGGUUCAAACAUAUUCGUCCGAUUCUUUACACACUGGAGUCCAGCAGGCACGUGUCCCCGGGCCCUGGCAAUACCCAAAAGCUCCAAUGUUUGCAGCUAAGCAGCUUAUCGAAGACAAUAAAUUAGAAGUAGAGCCUUAGGAAGUCAGUUCUCUUGGGGCUUAAUUUUUGCACCUGCAAAUAAGGGAUUUGGGCCGGCAUGAGUUCACCAGUGCUAAAAUAAUACCGAGCUCUUUUUUUUUUUUUUUUUUUGGUGUCCUAGACCUUGUGUUAAGAUUUUGCAUACAUUAUCUCAUUUAAUCCGGGCAACACUCUAUUAAGUAGAAAAGAUUCUCAUUGUAGGAAAAAUAAGCAGAGUUCUAGAAAUAGUUUUACCUCUCUGGGUCAUAAAAUACAAGGAUUUAGAAACCAACUAUUGGGACAAUAGAUUUAAGAAAGUAAUAUUGUUACCUUCCGUAAUUUCAUAAAAGUUGUAUUUUUAUGAGUUACCAUGUAAUAAUAACUCAUUGGUCAGCAUUGAGCUAAAAGUAAAAGAUUUCAUGACCCACUGUUACGUCAUUGACGUGACCAGUAGCAGUUCAGCUCUUCAAAUUUAGAAUACUCAUUUUAUUAUAUUUACAGAUAAAGUCCUCUAGUCCUACAGUGGUGUUAGGGCUGCUUGCUCACACUACAUGGCUCUGAAUAGCUUUGCUUUUUUAGUUCUAUUGUCUGUUUUCCUGUCUCCUCACUGUCAGCUGUUGCUUCUUCCUGGCUGUCAGUGAACAUAGUUCUAUUAUCCUUCCCACCCUUUUAAUUUACUGCUUUUAAUCUUCAGGCAAGAAAAUCACAUAAUGAAGCUUGUGCAAAACUGUCUCAAGAGUAUAAAUAGGUACUUUAAGGGACUGCCUUUUUAGCAAAAUUGUGACCCUUGUGCUAGGACAUUGUAAUGUCAGUUUUAAGCUGCUUAAAGACUCCCAGUGCCCCCGCCCCCAACUUGGUGGUUUAGGCUUUUUCUGAGUUAGGAAUAGAUAACUUCCUUUAAGAGAAUUCUUUUAGUUCGAAUUUAGGAUAUGCAGAAUAAUACCCAUUUUAAGAUCAUUAGUGGUGACUUCUAACCAUAGUGAGGUUAAUGUGAAAUUUUCAAUUUUACCACCACAUUGAAUAAAUUACCAAACUACCAAUUCAAGCUAUGGAAUUGAAAGCCACACAUUAUGUAUGUGUUACCGCUGUUGACUGGUGAGGAGUCCCUACUUCCCCAAUGUUGAAGAAUAACACCAGAAAAGCACGCCAAGGCAAGGUCAGAGUGGAAAAUUAGAAGUUUAUUAAAGAACAGCAGAAAAGACUUCUCCCAGAGGAAGAAGGGGACCCAAGAGGUGGAAUCUGUGGAAGGGCAGAUGUGUUCCCUUUUUUAUAGUUUUUGGUGAUGGAAUGUAGGUGGGAAGGUCUGAAGGUUUGGGACACAGGUGGGCCAAAGAAGUAAUCUGGGCACUUCCGAGUCAAGUUUGCUGUUCAUUAACAUUUCUUUGGGAUGGGCUAUCUUCAAAUCUGUUGGGGGGCUGUUUCCUGGGCUUCAUUAACAUUCCAAGAGUUGCUCAACCUUUCCAGAAAUUCAUUCUCAACAUGGCCUCCAUUUUAGAUUUCACUCGAUGUUAAACCCUAUUUACCAAAAAAAUAAUACUGACUACCUAACUUUAAAUCUGGCUUCAUAUGCAUUCAUUGUUUCAUAUUAUAAUUAGUUAUAAAAGGACCAAGAAAUCCUUUUGCCAGUAGUCAGUUCCAGUAAGAGAUUCUUUAGGGUUAUUUUUGAAAGCUGCAUAGUUAUUGUACAUGCACUUCAAAAAUACAUUAUUUGUUAAGUAUCCCUCAGUAUUAAACCAUUGUUAACAGUUAUUGCCUACUACGAUGUAAAACAUUGGGCUUAAGUAAAAAUAUACCUAACCAAAAGCAUUUUACACUCCUUGACAAAUUCAGUAAAUUGUCAGUGCAAUAAUUAUUUGCUGAGUAACUAAAAUGGAGCAGUUUGUAAAGUGUUCAAAGUUAAUAAAAAUCAGUUAAUAGAAAACUGAACUUGAAAUUAGUCUUUUGAAUUUAGACUGUGAUUGGAAUGACUGGCAGAGACAUAGAUGAACACAUUUUUAGCUGAAAAUCCACUUGAAAGAUGCGAAGCCCUGAUUCUUUGUGUAUGAAUCAUAUACUUUAUGAAUUACUAUAACAUAUUCUUAAAGAUAAAUUUCCUUUUCAUUAUUAUCUAGUAGGAUGUUUCCUCCUAUUGUUAAUCUACUAUAUAUUCAGGAAUCAGUAAGUUAUUUCAGUAUUAAUGCUUGAAACGGGAAAUGUAUAUAUGAAAAAAAAAAUACUGAUAUGCCUUAGCUGUGCUUCCAAAAUAUGUUUGAGGAUUCAGAAAAUUAAUGUAUUCUAUGGCAAUUUGUCAUUGAAUUUGUAGUCAAUCCUUUAAUAAAGCAGAGCUAACACCUGUUUUAAAAUU
Molecule: long non-coding RNA, 3616 nt
Filed under: Marmota monax (woodchuck)
Lineage: Eukaryota; Metazoa; Chordata; Mammalia; Rodentia; Sciuridae
Source: RNAcentral